This 654-nucleotide ribosomal RNA is filed under the name uncultured bacterium. RNAcentral's name for it is "bacterial SSU rRNA". The stretch from base 1 to 544 matches the Rfam family "Bacterial small subunit ribosomal RNA", at positions 338 to 873 of the family's 1533-position model. The record is from RNAcentral.
CCUACGGGAGGCAGCAGUAAGGAAUAUUGGACAAUGGACGCAAGUCUGAUCCAGCCAUGCCGCGUGAAGGAUUAAGGCCCUCUGGGUUGUAAACUUCUUUUAUAGGGGACGAAAAAAGGGCUUUCUAGCUCGACUGACGGUACCCUAUGAAUAAGCACCGGCUAACUCCGUGCCAGCAGCCGCGGUAAUACGGAGGGUGCAAGCGUUAUCCGGAUUCACUGGGUUUAAAGGGUGCGUAGGCGGGCAGUUAAGUCAGUGGUGAAAUCUUCGAGCUCAACUCGGAAACUGCCAUUGAUACUAUCUGUCUUGAAUAUUGUGGAGGUGAGCGGAAUAUGUCAUGUAGCGGUGAAAUGCUUAGAUAUGACAUAGAACACCAAUUGCGUAGGCAGCUCGCUACACAAAUAUUGACGCUGAGGCACGAAAGCGUGGGGAUCAAACAGGAUUAGAUACCCUGGUAGUCCACGACCUAACUAUAGUAUACUACGACAUAUGCGACUACACUGUAUGUGUCGUGAGACGAAGACGAUUAAGUUAAUACCUUACCGUUACGGUAAGGUUACGACCGACCGAGGUUAGGUUAACGUACGAAGGAAGUUAGGUUACGGACGUUGGAGACGUUACGCCGACGGACGACCGACGGAGGGGAGGUAGGAG